UACGGAGGGGGCAAGCGUUGUUCGGAAUUACUGGGCGUAAAGGGCGCGUAGGCGGCCCGCUAAGUCGAACGUGAAAUCCCCAGGCUCAACCUGGGAACUGCGUCCGAUACUGGCAGGCUUGAAUCCGGGAGAGGGAUGUGGAAUUCCAGGUGUAGCGGUGAAAUGCGUAGAUAUCUGGAGGAACACCGGUGGCGAAGGCGGCAUCCUGGACCGGUAUUGACGCUGAGGCGCGAAAGCUAGGGGAGCAAACGGG
This 253-nucleotide ribosomal RNA is filed under the name uncultured bacterium. RNAcentral's name for it is "partial 16S ribosomal RNA". It matches the Rfam family "Bacterial small subunit ribosomal RNA", at positions 524 to 776 of the family's 1533-position model. The record is from RNAcentral.